Molecule: ribosomal RNA, 429 nt
Filed under: bacterium
Lineage: Bacteria
Description: partial 16S ribosomal RNA
Rfam family: Bacterial small subunit ribosomal RNA
Source: RNAcentral
UAGGGAAUCUUCGGCAAUGGGGGCAACCCUGACCGAGCAACGCCGCGUGAGUGAAGAAGGUUUUCGGAUCGUAAAGCUCUGUUGUAAGAGAAGAACGUGUGUGAGAGUGGAAAGUUCACACAGUGACGGUAACUUACCAGAAAGGGACGGCUAACUACGUGCCAGCAGCCGCGGUAAUACGUAGGUCCCGAGCGUUGUCCGGAUUUAUUGGGCGUAAAGCGAGCGCAGGCGGUUUAAUAAGUCUGAAGUUAAAGGCAGUGGCUUAACCAUUGUUCGCUUUGGAAACUGUUAAACUUGAGUGCAGAAGGGGAGAGUGGAAUUCCAUGUGUAGCGGUGAAAUUCGUAGAUAUAUGGAGGAACACCGGUGGCGAAAGCGGCUCUCUGGUCUGUAACUGACGCUGAGGCUCGAAAGCGUGGGGAGCAAACAGG